GGUUAACGCUGGCGGCGUGCCUAACACAUGCAAGUCGAACGAGGCUAUCUCUCCCGUAAGGGAGUGAUUGUCCUAGUGGCGAACGGGUGAGUAGCACGUGGGCAAUCUGCCCCGAAGUGGGGGAUAACACCGGGAAACCGGUGCUAAUACCGCAUAUGGUCACCGGUCGCAUGGCUGGUGAAGAAAGGAGCAAUCCGCUUUGGGAUGAGCCCGCGGCCUAUCAGCUAGUAGGUGGGGUAACGGCCUACCUAGGCUAAGACGGGUAGCUGGUCUGAGA
RNAcentral lists this ribosomal RNA (277 nucleotides) under uncultured bacterium. RNAcentral's name for it is "partial 16S ribosomal RNA". It matches the Rfam family "Bacterial small subunit ribosomal RNA", at positions 28 to 297 of the family's 1533-position model. The record is from RNAcentral.